Molecule: long non-coding RNA, 1234 nt
Organism: Nasonia vitripennis (jewel wasp)
Lineage: Eukaryota; Metazoa; Arthropoda; Insecta; Hymenoptera; Pteromalidae
Exons: 2
Source: RefSeq, a predicted model, not a curated record
GUGUCUACUUCCGCAUCUCGUUGCCGGCGAUUCCGAGGACUACCGCCCUGUGGGCACACAUACGCAGAGGAGCAGAUGGACCGGGUUGUCGACCUUGCACCUCCAGCUAAAGGAGAAUCCGGUCGAAUGGCGAAGCUGUCAAGGCGAGGGAUUCUCGAUAAGGAAAGAAUGCUCUCUAUGCUUUUGAUUGUUGCUCAGAAAGCCUCGAUAUCGAUACUGGCUUUCGGGCAAUAAUCAUAAUCACGGGAGAGUAUAAAAACGACGUACAUACAUCGUUAUGCCGCCAUCAUCAUCAUCAUCAUCAUCAUCAUCAUCAUCAUCAUCCUUAUUAUCAUCAAUUGUUUUCAACAACGAUUGAUCGGCAGCCAGAGUAAUUCUGAUUUUAUAACACCACAAAUACUUUCCUCCACGUUCAUCAGGAAUUCCAUGAAUAAACUCGUUUACACAACUCUGUAUCUUCGAUGUACCUCGCAUUGUUGAAAAUAAUCGCCACUGUCCCGGGUCUAAUAUUAGAACGUUCGUCCCUUAUAUAUUCGACUCGACUGCCAAAAGUGUCAAUCAAUUUGUACUGUAACCUACCCUCUCGUCCUGUAUACCAGUCCCGAAAUAGCCACCUUUACGUAAGCUGAAUUCCCGAUCACCCAUGUAUAUACUUUCCCACAACUUCGCCCUACGAGCAAAAGCUGAAAUGUAAAAAAAAGUUGCUGCUUGUACAAGAUUCAUGUUUCCACAAACAAUGACAACAUUUCCGCGCUUGCGCGCGCAUUUAAAUAAGAGACUCGGGCAACCCUUGAGCAGCGCGCAGCAAUCAUCUCUGGCUGUAAUUCCCGCGCGGCCCGGCGACGUUAACGCCGCUGCUGCGUAUAAUAAAAUACACAGCAUCUCGACUCAGCAACUCGUCGCUUUCUUCCCAUAGUGCUAAGUAUCUGUAGAGACCCGUCUAUGGACCGUAUAGCGACGGAGGAUGGAAAAUGCACGAGUCGAGGGAAGCUGAGAGUCGUUAAAUCUCGAGAGAAAGAGAGAGCCGAGAGGAGAUAUCGGUUCCUGGGAUUUCUGCAGGAUCGUUGCUGCGAAUGUAAUUGUCGGUGACGGAUUCUGGGUAUGCGAGCUAGAGAAGAAGCUGCGCUGGAUUAUUGUAAUUGGGUUGCACGCGUCAGUGGCUUCGUGAGAAGAUUCGAAAAACUAUAUGCUGCACAGACUGUUCAUUGGAUAAUAAAAAACAAUUUUUAGUAGA